RNAcentral lists this ribosomal RNA (253 nucleotides) under uncultured bacterium. RNAcentral describes it as "partial 16S ribosomal RNA". It matches the Rfam family "Bacterial small subunit ribosomal RNA", at positions 524 to 776 of the family's 1533-position model. The record is from RNAcentral.
UACAGAGGGUGCAAGCGUUAAUCGGAAUUACUGGGCGUAAAGCGUGCGUAGACGGUCAUGUAAGUCGGGUGUGAAAGCCCCGGGCUCAACCUGGGAAUUGCAUUCGAGACUGCACGGCUAGGGUGCGGAAGAGGGAAGCGGAAUUUCCGGUGUAGCGGUGAAAUGCGUAGAUAUCGGAAGGAACACCAGUGGCGAAAGCGGCUCCCUGGUCCAGCACCGACGUUCAGGCACGAAAGCGUGGGGAGCAAACAGG